RNAcentral lists this ribosomal RNA (535 nucleotides) under bacterium enrichment culture. Its description in RNAcentral is "bacterial SSU rRNA". It matches the Rfam family "Bacterial small subunit ribosomal RNA", at positions 64 to 594 of the family's 1533-position model. The record is from RNAcentral.
GAACGGCAGCGCGGGAGCAAUCCUGGCGGCGAGUGGCGAACGGGUGAGUAAUACAUCGGAACGUGCCCAAUCGUGGGGGAUAACGCAGCGAAAGCUGUGCUAAUACCGCAUACGAUCUACGGAUGAAAGCAGGGGAUCGCAAGACCUUGCGCGAAUGGAGCGGCCGAUGGCAGAUUAGGUAGUUGGUGAGGUAAAGGCUCACCAAGCCUUCGAUCUGUAGCUGGUCUGAGAGGACGACCAGCCACACUGGGACUGAGACACGGCCCAGACUCCUACGGGAGGCAGCAGUGGGGAAUUUUGGACAAUGGGCGCAAGCCUGAUCCAGCCAUGCCGCGUGCAGGAUGAAGGCCUUCGGGUUGUAAACUGCUUUUGUACGGAACGAAACGGCCUUUUCUAAUAAAGAGGGCUAAUGACGGUACCGUAAGAAUAAGCACCGGCUAACUACGUGCCAGCAGCCGCGGUAAUACGUAGGGUGCAAGCGUUAAUCGGAAUUACUGGGCGUAAAGCGUGCGCAGGCGGUGAUGUAAGACAGUUG